CAAAGAGUGCCUGAUAAUAGGAUUACUUUGAUAGAGUAUAUAAUGUAAACCUUUGUGUUUACCUCUUUGA
This 70-nucleotide transfer RNA is filed under the name Scirtothrips dorsalis. RNAcentral describes it as "tRNA-Ile". Lineage: Eukaryota; Metazoa; Arthropoda; Insecta; Thysanoptera; Thripidae. The record is from RNAcentral.